UACGUAGGGUGCGAGCGUUGUCCGGAAUUAUUGGGCGUAAAGGGCUCGUAGGCGGUUUGUCGCGUCGGGAGUGAAAACCAGGUGCUUAACACCUGGCUUGCUUUCGAUACGGGCAGACUAGAGGUAUUCAGGGGAGAACGGAAUUCCUGGUGUAGCGGUGAAAUGCGCAGAUAUCAGGAGGAACACCGGUGGCGAAGGCGGUUCUCUGGGAAUGACCUGACGCUGAUGAGCGAAAGUGUGGGGAGCGAACAGG
RNAcentral lists this ribosomal RNA (253 nucleotides) under uncultured bacterium. Its description in RNAcentral is "partial 16S ribosomal RNA". It matches the Rfam family "Bacterial small subunit ribosomal RNA", at positions 524 to 776 of the family's 1533-position model. The record is from RNAcentral.